AGCGCUACGUGGAGACCGGACUGAGUGGAUGCGGAGCCCUGGAGCUGGGAAACUAGAGGGCGUAAAUCACAGACAAGCUGCACAAAGGCAAGGACUUUGUUGUAUCUCCUGAUGUAAUCCCAGCACGAAGAAACAUGUAAUGCAGGCACGGGUCUGUGGUUGAGUUUUCAAGCAGGAUCAAGUUACAAAGCGUCACACACCUAUCCACGGGGGCUCUGAUAUGG
Mesoplodon densirostris (Blainville's beaked whale) is the source of this 224-nucleotide long non-coding RNA. RefSeq lists it as uncharacterized. The transcript is spliced from 3 exons. The record is from RefSeq and is a predicted model, not a curated record. Lineage: Eukaryota; Metazoa; Chordata; Mammalia; Artiodactyla; Ziphiidae.